GAUGAAGAACGCAGCGAAAUGCGAUAAGUAAUGUGAAUUGCAGAAUUCAGUGAAUCAUCGAAUCUUUGAACGCACAUUGCGCCCGUCAGUAUUCUGGCGGGCAUGCCUGUUCGAGCGUCAUUACAACCCUCAGGCCCCCGGGCCUGGCGUUGGGGAUCGGCGGAAGCCCCCUGCGGGCACAACGCCGUCCCCCAAAUACAGUGGCGGUCCCGCCGCAGCUUCCAUUGCGUAGUAGCUAACACCUCGCAACUGGAGAGCGGCGCGGCCACGCCGUAAAACACCCAACUUCUGAAUGUUGACCUCGAAUCAGGUAGGAAUACCCGCUGAACUUAAGCAUAUCAAUAAGCGGAGGA
RNAcentral lists this unclassified non-coding RNA (353 nucleotides) under soil metagenome. Its description in RNAcentral is "partial contains 5.8S ribosomal RNA, internal transcribed spacer 2, and large subunit ribosomal RNA". The stretch from base 1 to 120 matches the Rfam family "5.8S ribosomal RNA", at positions 35 to 154 of the family's 154-position model. The record is from RNAcentral.